AAGCUCGUAGUUGAAUUUCGGGGUUAGUAGGUUGGUCAUGCCUCUGGUAUGUACUGGUCUCACUGAUUCCUCCUUCCUUAUGACCCGUAAUGCCAUUAAUUUGGUGUUGCGGGGAAUUUGGACUGUUACUUUGAAAAAAUUAGAGUGUUUAAAGCAAGCUAACGCUUGAAUACAUUAGCAUGGAAUAAUGAAAUAGGACGUUCGAUCUUAUUUUGUUGGUUUCUUAGGAUUGACGUAAUGAUUAAUAGGGAUAGUUGGG
This 259-nucleotide ribosomal RNA is filed under the name uncultured Glomus. RNAcentral's name for it is "partial 18S ribosomal RNA". It matches the Rfam family "Eukaryotic small subunit ribosomal RNA", at positions 624 to 886 of the family's 1831-position model. The record is from RNAcentral. Lineage: Eukaryota; Fungi; Glomeromycota; Glomeromycetes; Glomerales; Glomeraceae.